AAUUCACUCUCUUAAGACAGACAGAGAGAGAGAGAGGUGCUCACCGCCGCCGUGGUUCCAUCUUCGAAGGGAGCGAUCUCAUUUCUCAUCGCCGUCGUCGUUUGGGCUUCGCAGUUUAGAUAGAAUGCGACAGGCGCAACAAUUCUGGUUCCGAUUCUAUUCGAUUAAACUGGGGAGGCGAUCGGAGAUGAUGCUUGGCGCGUCUAGGGAAUUUUUUUGUCUAUCUAGGGUUUGAGUAUCGAUCGAUGAGCAAUUCGCUGUUAUCAUCUCAGCAAUGGAGUAGCCGUGACUUAUCGACAAACUUUUGUGAUGCAAAGAUGAUGGUUUGUGAGGGUGUUCUGGUAUAGUUAAUAUCAGUUUUCUGGCGAUGGAUGGAAGGACAUCGAACGACGCAGUUUCUUCAUCUCUAUGUUCUGUUUUAAGCGUGACAGGAUUUUUUUAUCACGAGAAGCUGGUGUUUUCUUGCCGUCUGUCUAGGGUUUGAGUAUCGAUCGAUAAGACAAUUCGCUGGUAUCGUCUCAGCAAUGGCGUAGCCGAUUAACUUACGACAAACUUUUGUGAUGCAAAGAUGUAAAUCCUUAUCGUAUAUCUCCUUCACUCCUUUUCUUUCUUUUGUAAUGUCAACUAUGAAUUCUAAUACCAUAUUUUUUUUAAUGAGGAUGGUUGUGAGCGUGUUCUGGUAUAGUUAAUAUCAGUUUUCUGGCAAUGGAUGGAAGGAUAUCGAACAACGCAGUUUCUUCAUCUGUAUGUUCUGUUUUAAGCGAGACAGGAUUUUUUUAUCACGAGAAGCUGGUGUUUUCUUGCCUGUCCUGCUCAUAAUUUCCGUCUUUGAGCGACUAUUUUGGAAGAACUUGAUUAGGGUUUAUAUUGGAGGCUAAGCGAUGCUAUGUAAAGCUACCCAUGUACGAUAAAAAAUGUCAAGCUUUUACAUAAUUGGACAGUCUUCACUUUAGACACUUUUGUAAAAUAUUUUAAACAUUGCAACUUUUUUUACUUUGAAACAAGAAAUAACUUGGGAUUCUCCUCAAUCUUUGCAGGUGGAUUGUGAUAGGAAUUCUAAUUUCUAUGCUUUAUGUCCGGGUUUCAUAUAUUUAAUGUCUCCAUUGAUCUCGUUUAUUCAAAAUGUAUGCUUGUGCUAAUUAUGCAAAAUAUUUAAAUAAAAAUAUUGCAAAUCCUAGGCAGCAUGCAGGUUUUGCUUAAUUCAUUUCCCACACAUGAAUUUGAAUUUAGUUUUAGUGCAUAACAUGGUGUCUGCUCUCAUUCUUAUUAUUAAGAUGUUGCUUAUGAUUCCACUGGAGAAGUCAGAAGGUGUCACAGAUGCAGCAAACUCAGAAUAUACUCUUUCCAUUUUCCAUUUGGAUUUUUUAUGCUCCUAAUGUUUUGGGGCAUCCCGACAAUUAUAUACUUGCUAAUCCGAUGUCCACCCUGGCGCCAUUCCCAGAACUAGCAUUGAUUGAACCAUUGGAGUUGUAGAAUUCCUUUCAACUUCAUGUAAAGAUCAUAACCAACUCUCAGGUGGACUUGAAGUAUUGUUCUCAUUAUCUUCUGCUUCUUCAGUUGGAUGGAGGGCCAGUUGAGGCUGCCAUAGGAUGUGACCAUCUCCUGAAUAGGAGCACUUCGAGGUUGAUUAUCUGUCCAUUUCCCGAAACUAUUUACAAUUGCUUUCGACGUGAAUUUUUCACCCCUUAUGGACAACGUCGAGGCCAAACAUAUGAAACUUUUGAGGACACUGUCAAAUAUAGCCAGUUGUAUACUUGCCAGUGAGGUAGAGCUGUACUAAAAGUACUGAUUGAUAGAGUUCGAGACAAUGCUUCUACUAUACAAUUAGCUUUAUGGUCCAGUUUCCACAUAUUUAAUAUGUCACCAUUGACCUCCUUAGUCCUUUAUGCAAAAUCUUAGGAUUCCACUAAAGAAAUAUGAGGGCGCAACAGAUGCAACCAACCCAGAGGGGAGAUGGUGUCGUCUUCUUGUGCAGUCAGUCGAUAAACAAGAUUUUGGCACAUAAAACUCUUUUGAUUUUGGGACAUGGGAAGUGGACAUAAUAUUCCAAUGCAUCGAGGUAAAUUUGUUACAAAAGUUAUUAUUUUUUGUUUUUUAUCUUUCUCUUUUAUGUUUUUAUGCUUGCAUAAAAGAAGUUGAUUCGUUU
Andrographis paniculata is the source of this 2146-nucleotide long non-coding RNA. RefSeq lists it as uncharacterized. The record is from RefSeq and is a predicted model, not a curated record. Lineage: Eukaryota; Viridiplantae; Streptophyta; Magnoliopsida; Lamiales; Acanthaceae. The transcript has 15 exons.